UAGGCGCUGGAUUGCUGUGAAGCGCUCCAAGUUUUUCUGUGAUCUUCUCGACAAGGAGGCUAUCAAGACCUGGGGCUGUGGAAUCAGUUUAAAACAAGAUCGUUGGGGAGACUGUCAUUCCAGCACCUGAUUAUCGCAUUCCAAUCGUUCUUCUGGGUCUUUGUGGAAAAAAAUGAGAAGCAAGGAGUGUUCUUUCUUUCAGGUACCGCUGGUGCUCUAGUUUACACGAACAAUUUGCUUUCAGCAGCUCCAAUUGGUUUGCUCGGCCUUCUUCUCUUAUUCCAAACCACCCGAGUAAGAUCCGCGUUCG
Molecule: long non-coding RNA, 310 nt
Organism: Selaginella moellendorffii
Lineage: Eukaryota; Viridiplantae; Streptophyta; Lycopodiopsida; Selaginellales; Selaginellaceae
Exons: 3
Source: RefSeq, a predicted model, not a curated record